GACGAACGCUGGCGGCGUGCUUAACACAUGCAAGUCGUACGAUGACCCGGCUCUUCGGCGCUGGUGAUUAGUGGCGAACGGGUGAGUAACACGUGGGUGACCUGCCCUGCACUCUGGGAUAAGCCCGGGAAACUGGGUCUAAUACUGGAUACGACCAGCGGCCGCAUGGUCUGCUGGUGGAAAGCUCUUCGGGGGGGUGUGGGAUGGGCCCGCGGCCUAUGAGCUUGUUGGUGGGGUGAUGGCCUACGAAGGCGACGACGGGUAGCCGGCCUGGGUGGGCGGCCCGGCACACUGGGACUGCGACACGGCCCAGACGACUACGGGAGGCAGCAGUGGGGAAGCAGGCGCGGUGAGCGAAAGCCUAAUGCAGCGAGGCCGCGUGAGGGAUGACGGCCUUCGGGUUGUAGACCUCUUUCGGCAGGGAACUAGCCUGAGGGUUUUCGUCUGAGUGACGGUACCUGCAGAAGAAGCACCGGCUAACUACGUG
This 487-nucleotide ribosomal RNA is filed under the name uncultured bacterium. RNAcentral describes it as "partial 16S ribosomal RNA". It matches the Rfam family "Bacterial small subunit ribosomal RNA", at positions 28 to 507 of the family's 1533-position model. The record is from RNAcentral.